UGGGGAAUAUUGCACAAUGGGGGAAACCCUGAUGCAGCAACGCCGCGUGAGUGAUGACGGCCUUCGGGUUGUAAAGCUCUGUCUUCAGGGACGAUAAUGACGGUACCUGAGGAGGAAGCCACGGCUAACUACGUGCCAGCAGCCGCGGUAAUACGUAGGUGGCAAGCGUUGUCCGGAUUUACUGGGCGUAAAGGGCGCGCAGGCGGGAUAAAAAGUCAGUGGUGAAAUCCUACAGCUUAACUGUAGAACUGCCUUUGAUACUUUUAUUCUUGAGUUCGGGAGAGAGAGACGGAAUUCCAGGUGUAGUGGUGAAAUACGUAGAUAUCUGGAAGAACACCAGUUGCGAAGGCGGUCUCUUGGUCCGACACUGACGCUGAGGCGCGAAAGCGUGGGGAGCAAACA
This 402-nucleotide ribosomal RNA is filed under the name uncultured bacterium. RNAcentral describes it as "bacterial SSU rRNA". It matches the Rfam family "Bacterial small subunit ribosomal RNA", at positions 355 to 774 of the family's 1533-position model. The record is from RNAcentral.